AGAGUUUGAUCCUGGCUCAGGACGAACGCAUGGUGGCGUGCUUAACACAUGCAAGUCGAACGGUGAUGCCCAGCUUGCUGGGUGGAUCAGUGGCGAACGGGUGAGUAACACGUGAGCAACCUGCCCCCUACUUCGGGAUAAGCCUUGGAAACGGGGUCUAAUACCGGAUAUGAGCGCCUGCCGCAUGGUGGGUGUUGGAAAGUUUUUCGGUGGGGGAUGGGCUCGCGGCCUAUCAGCUUGUUGGUGGGGUAAUGGCCUACCAAGGCGUCGACGGGUAGCCGGCCUGAGAGGGCGACCGGCCACACUGGGACUGAGACACGGCCCAGACUCCUACGGGAGGCAGCAGUGGGGAAUAUUGCACAAUGGGCGAAAGCCUGAUGCAGCGACGCCACGUGAGGGAUGACGGCCUUCGGGUUGUAAACCUCUUUCAGCAGGGAAGAAGCGCAAGUGACGGUACCUGCAGAAGAAGCGCCGGCUAACUACGUGCCAGCAGCCGCGGUAAUACGUAGGGCGCAAGCGUUGUCCGGAAUUAUUGGGCGUAAAGAGCUCGUAGGCGGUCUGUCGCGUCUGGUGUGAAAUCCCAUGGCUCAACUGUGGGCUUGCAUCGGGUACGGGCAGACUAGAGUGCUGUAGGGGAGACUGGAAUUCCUGGUGUAGCGGUGGAAUGCGCAGAUAUCAGGAGGAACACCGAUGGCGAAGGCAGGUCUCUGGGCAGUUACUGACGCUGAGGAGCGAAAGCAUGGGGAGCGAACCAGGAUUAGAUACCCUGGUAGUCCAUGCCGUAAACGUGGCACUAGGUGUGGGGCCAGUUCCACUGGUUCUGUGCCGCAGCUAACGCAUUAAGUGCCCCGCCUGGGGAGUACGGCCGCAAGGCUAAAACUCAAAGGAAUUGACGGGGGCCCGCACAAGCGGCGGAGCAUGCGGAUUAAUUCGAUGCAACGCGAAGAACCUUACCAAGGCUUGACAUGUACGAGAAAGCCCCAGAGAUGGGGUUCUCUUUGGACACUCGUACACAGGUGGUGCAUGGUUGUCGUCAGCUCGUGUCGUGAGAUGUUGGGUUAAGUCCCGCAACGAGCGCAACCCUUAUCCUAUGUUGCCAGCGGGUUAUGCCGGGGACUCAUGGGAGACUGCCGGGGUCAACUCGGAGGAAGGUGGGGAUGACGUCAAAUCAUCAUGCCCCUUAUGUCUUGGGCUUCACGCAUGCUACAAUGGCCGGUACAGAGGGCUGCGAUACCGUGAGGUGGAGCGAAUCCCAAAAAGCCGGUCUCAGUUCGGAUCGGGGUCUGCAACUCGACCCCGUGAAGUCGGAGUCGCUAGUAAUCGCAGAUCAGCAACGCUGCGGUGAAUACGUUCCCGGGCCUUGUACACACCGCCCGUCAAGUCACGAAAGUUGGUAACACCCGAAGCUCACGGCCCAACCCGCAAGGGAGGGAGUGGUCGAAGGUGGGACUGGCGAUU
This 1458-nucleotide ribosomal RNA is filed under the name uncultured soil bacterium. Its description in RNAcentral is "bacterial SSU rRNA". It matches the Rfam family "Bacterial small subunit ribosomal RNA". The record is from RNAcentral.